This 256-nucleotide ribosomal RNA is filed under the name uncultured bacterium. RNAcentral's name for it is "partial 16S ribosomal RNA". It matches the Rfam family "Bacterial small subunit ribosomal RNA", at positions 524 to 776 of the family's 1533-position model. The record is from RNAcentral.
UACGAAGGGGGGCUAGCGUUGCUCGGAAUCACUGGGCGUAAAAGGGCGCGUAGGCGGCCGUUUAAGUCGGGGGUGAAAGCCUGUGGCUCAACCACAGAAUUGCCUUCGAUACUGGACGGCUUGAGACCGGAAGAGGUAAGUGGAACUGCGAGUGUAGAGGUGAAAUUCGUAGAUAUUCGCAAGAACACCAGUGGCGAAGGCGGCUCACUGGCCCCGAUACUGACGCUGAGGCACGAAAGCGUGGGGAGCAAACAGG